AAGAAAAACACUACAUAACAGAAAAGUUAAUAAAAAAAAUGUUGUACAACAAAGCUUUUGUCCGCACUAGGUGCAAAGAAAGGCUCGGUAUCUGUGGUCUAAUUGAGACAAAAACACAGGGUGUUCUUCGGCUUUGUUAUUUUUUUUUUUAAAGUAGGUGCAAAUGGAGAUUCGGACACCCUACUCCACUACAUUACAGAAAAGUUAAUAAAAAAUGUUGAACGACAAAACUUUUAUCAGCACAAGGUAAAAAGGGAAGCUGGGUAGCUUAUGUUUACUUGAGAAAAAAUCCAGGGUGUUCUCCGGCC
RNAcentral lists this long non-coding RNA (308 nucleotides) under Mytilus galloprovincialis (Mediterranean mussel). Lineage: Eukaryota; Metazoa; Mollusca; Bivalvia; Mytilida; Mytilidae. The record is from RNAcentral.